Long non-coding RNA from Biomphalaria glabrata, 548 nucleotides. RefSeq lists it as uncharacterized. The record is from RefSeq and is a predicted model, not a curated record. NCBI's taxonomy places the organism in Eukaryota, Metazoa, Mollusca, Gastropoda, Planorbidae. The transcript has 3 exons.
UCGAGUUCGUUUUCCCAUCUCUACUAGAUACAUAUUUUUUAAAAAUAUUUAUCAUUUUACCAUUAUUCUGUCCGUUGGGCAGUGUGGAGAUGAUGGCCCGGUGGAAGUGUAGGCAAUUCUUGCAUGAGUUUACUGAGAGGAGUGUUAACUGUUACCGUGUUACUAAAUUAGAGUUAGAUCCUACCAUGCCGGCAUUGGAGUGAAGUCAAGGUAAUGACUGAUGUGUGGAUCCAAACAUUGUAUUUCAUGGUGGAUGUUCAUUCUCAUCUAUAUCAUCUUAAUAACUGCAAAGGAGCCUGCAGCUCAACAGCGAAAAGUUGGCAAGAAGAGUAAGAAGCCCCUACAUACAAGUUACCUGUGAGUCUAUUCAGUGUUGCCAUAUUACAAGAUCUUCGGGGCUCGCAAAGACCUUCCUUCAGGGAACAGUACCAGGAAAAAGAUGAAGAGGCAGACAGAGAAAUCGAUGGGAGGACAACAUAAAAGAAUGGACGGGCCUGCCAACAAGAGGCAAAAGUAAAAGACAGGACUGCCGUCACUGAGGAAUCGAA